ACUGAUUUAAAAGAUACCAUAAAGAGAAAGAAUUUUAAAGGAAGGGAAAAAAAAAGUUCUGAAAACAGUGUAUAAUGUAUAAUGGAAGAGCAAGUUGAAUCAGAAUAGCAGUUGGGUUGAGAUGUCUUUUUAAAACCUU
Vicugna pacos (alpaca) is the source of this 139-nucleotide non-coding RNA. The record is from RefSeq and is a predicted model, not a curated record. NCBI's taxonomy places the organism in Eukaryota, Metazoa, Chordata, Mammalia, Artiodactyla, Camelidae.